This 606-nucleotide ribosomal RNA is filed under the name fungal endophyte. RNAcentral describes it as "eukaryotic LSU rRNA". The stretch from base 182 to 335 matches the Rfam family "5.8S ribosomal RNA". The record is from RNAcentral. Lineage: Eukaryota; Fungi.
CAUUAAAGAGUUCUAUAACUCCCAAACCCAUGUGAACAUACCUAACGUUGCCUCGGCAGGUCGCACCUACCUUGUAGCACCCUACCCUGUAGGGCCUACCCGGGAGGUGCGGGUAAGCCUGCCGGCGGCCCACCAAACUCUGUUUGAUAUUGAAUUCUGAACCUAUAACUAAAUAAGUUAAAACUUUCAACAACGGAUCUCUUGGUUCUGGCAUCGAUGAAGAACGCAGCGAAAUGCGAUAAGUAAUGUGAAUUGCAGAAUUCAGUGAAUCAUCGAAUCUUUGAACGCAUAUUGCGCCCAUUAGUAUUCUAGUGGGCAGGACCGUUCGAGCGUCAUUUCAACCCUUAAGCCUUCGUUGCUUAGUGUUGGGAGCCUACGGCAACGUAGCUCCUCAAAGUUAGUGGCGGAGUUGGUUCACACUCUAGACGUAGUAAUUUUUUAUCUCGCCUAUUAGUUGGACUAAUCCCCUGCCGUAAAACCCCCAAUCUAUAUCAAGGUUGACCUCGAAUCGGUUCAGACAAACUCGCUAAAUUGAAGCAUCUUAGUCAGCGAAGGAAAAGAAACCAACAGGGAUUGCCCUAGUAACGGCGAGUGAAGCGGCAACAG